RNAcentral lists this ribosomal RNA (360 nucleotides) under Herbaspirillum sp. RNAcentral's name for it is "bacterial SSU rRNA". It matches the Rfam family "Bacterial small subunit ribosomal RNA", at positions 1073 to 1439 of the family's 1533-position model. Lineage: Bacteria; Pseudomonadati; Pseudomonadota; Betaproteobacteria; Burkholderiales; Oxalobacteraceae. The record is from RNAcentral.
GGUUGGGUUAAGUCCCGCAACGAGCGCAACCCUUGUCAUUAGUUGAUCCGAAAGGGCACUGUAAUGAGACUGCCGGUGACAAACCGGAGGAAGGUGGGGAUGGCGUCAAGUCCUCAAGGCCCUUAUGGGUAGGGUUUCACACGUCAUACAAUGGUACAUGCAGGGGGCCGCCAACCCGCGACGGGGAGCUAAUCCCAGAAAGUGUAUCGUAGUCCGGAUUGGAGUCUGCAACUCGACUCCAUGAAGUUGGAAUCGCUAGUAAUCGCGGAUCAGCAUGUCGCGGUGAAUACGUUCCCGGGUCUUGUACACACCGCCCGUCACACCAUGGGAGAUGGUUUUACCAGAAGUGGGUAGCCUAAC